RNAcentral lists this long non-coding RNA (14947 nucleotides) under Medicago truncatula (barrel medic). RNAcentral describes it as "long non-coding RNA (MTRU_LNC005688)". Lineage: Eukaryota; Viridiplantae; Streptophyta; Magnoliopsida; Fabales; Fabaceae. The record is from RNAcentral.
CCACUCACAGAUAAGUUGUGCAAGUUGAUGCUGUGUCAACCUAUUUUUUACCCACUGCCUGAUAACUGUCCUGUCCUCUCUAUCAAAAUGUCUAUAAUUCAUGAAAGAUCUCCGUUGUUAUCCACACCAUUAUGAGACUCCUGGGGGAAAAAAUAGACCUAUUGUUAGUGUAGUUCAAGUGGUUAACUAGCCAUCAAGAUUAUACCAAGUUAAGCAUAAUCAUACAACAGUUUGUUAGUGAUAUAUUAUGCGGCGCAAUCAAAUGGGAGAUCCUAGUGUUUUCUUCUCUUUUAUACCAAGUUAAGCAUAAUCAUACAACAGUUUGUUAGUGAUAUAUUAUGCGGCGCAAUCAAAUGGGAGAUCCUAGUGUUUUCUUCCCAUUCAAUUUAUUAUAUUAGUCUCCUAUUUAUUAUUGAUGUAAUACUAAUAGUAAUAAUAAUAAUAAUGAUAAUGAUAAUGAUAAUUCUUUUGCUUCUGUUAGAAUAUAAUUAUAAUAUCUUGAUAUCAACCCCAUUCUCUAAGAGUGUGUUUGGAUGAGGUAAUUGAAAAUUUUAGAGAGUUUAGAAUUCUAGGCAAUUGAAAUUAUUCAAUUAAUUUGCCUUCAUUUCUAAAUCUUUUUGUUUGGAUAGAGUAAUAAAAAAAUUCAUUGUUAAAAUUUUUGGGCUACUUAUAUAAAUGUGACAAAAUUUGGGUCAAAUUUGAAAAUUGAAAAAUAGGCUUAGUGUUUAGCAUAGUAUCUUAGACUAUCUCUUAAAACUAGUUUCCAUAUUUCUUUAUUAUUAUCAUUAUUUGUUUCCCUAUUUAAAUAGGAUUUGCAGUCUUGUAUUAUUAUUCUUAAGACUGAAAAUAUGUUUUUUCAUAUCAAAUUAUGUAGGGAGAAUGUACAUUUAUAUGGGUAGGAGUCUCCUAGUUAAUCCCUAAUUAAUAAGGAAGAUUAAUCAAUACAAUCAAUACAAUAAAUAGUGAAGUUAAAACUAAAUAGUCACAACUUUUCAAUAUCUCAACACUCCCCCUCAAGGUGGUGCGUAUACAUCAUAUGCAUCCAUCUUGUCACAUAUGUAAGUUAUCUGAGGACUCCGUAGAGAUUUAGUAAAGAUAUCAACAAGUUGAUCCUUGGCAUUGACAGACGAGGUUCUGAUGAUUCCGGUGAUAAUCUUCUCUCUAAGAAAGUGACAGUCAACUUCAAUAUGCUUUGUCCUCUCGUGAAAAACUGGAUUGGAGGAGAGGUGUAAAGCUGAUUGAUUAUCACAUACAAGUUCCAUUUGACCAACCUCACAAAAAUGUAAUUCCUACAAUAAAUGUUUCAACCACACAAGCUCACAUGUAGUAUGAGCCAUAGCUCGAUACUCGGCUUCUGUACUCGACCGGGCGACAACAGUUUGCCUUUUGCUCUUCCAUGAAAUCCGAUUUCCGCCCACAAAAAUGCAAUAACUAGAAGUAGACCGUCUAUCACUUGCAUCUCCUGCCCAAUCGGCAUUUGAAUACCCCACGAUAUUUGCGUGGCCUCUAUCAAUGAAAACAAGUCCUUUUCCGGGUGCUCUUUUUGAUAUACUUAAGAAUUCGAACAACUGCAUUCCAAUGAUUGACACAAGGAGAGUUAAGAAACUGACUUACGACGCUAACCGGAAAAGAUAUGUCCGAUCUGGUCAAGGUGAGAUAAUUCAAUUUUCCCACUAGUCUUCGGUAUCUGCCUGGAUCAUAAUAGGGCUCCCCCUGGUUAGGAAGAAGCUUCACAUUAGGAUCCAUAAGAGUAUCAACUAGUUUACAAUCUAUAAGACCUGUUUCCUCCAAAAUAUCAAGGGCAUACUUCCUCUGAGUGAUAGCAAUUUCAGAGUUUGAUUGAGCCACUUCAAUCCCGAGAAAGUAACGAAGAGGACCUAAGUCCUUAGUCUGAAAGUUUUGAAAUAGAUGUUGUUUUAAUGCCUUGAUAACUUCAUAAUCAUCACCGGUCAUUACAAUGUCAUCAACAUAAACCACAAGGUAGAUAUAUUUAUUUGAUGUUGAGCAUUUAAGAAAAACAGAAUGAUCUGAUUCGCAACGGGUCAUCCCAAACUGUUGUAGAAGUUUGUUGAAUCGACCAAACCAUGCUCGAGGCGUUAAUCCAUACAAGGACUUUUUCAAUUUGCAUACCAAACUUUUCCCCCCUUGAGCAACAAACCCAGGAGGUUGCUCCAUAUAAAUCUCUUCUUCCAAGUCACCAUGCAAGAAAGCAUUCUUGAUAUCCAACUGAAACAAGGCCAACGUCUCAUGGCAUUCUUGAUAUCCAACUGAAACAGGGCCAACGUCUCAUGGCAGCCAUAGACUUGAGUAUAACCUUUUGCUACUAACCGAGCCUUUAAUCGAUCAUCGAUCAACCUGUCCAUCAAGUCCCACUUUGACAUUAAACACCCACCUGCAACCAACAAUAGAUUUUCCAAGAGGCGGUGGAACAAGCUCCCAAGUUUGGUUUUAUUCUAACGCAAUCAUCUCAUCAAUCAUGGCCUGUUUCUACGCUGGAUGAGAUAAUGCUUCAUGAAGUGUCUUAGGAAUUGAGCCAGUUGAAAGAGCAGAAACAAAAGCCAAGUAGGAAGGAGACAAUCGGUGGUAGCUCAAAAAAUUAUAAAUAGGAUGAGGAUUAGCGGUAGACCUUUUAUCUUUACGAAGAGCAAUAGGUAAGUCAAUAGGAUGCUCAAGUGGAACCGCAGCAGGAGAAGAGACUGGAACAAUACCUGAAUCACUAGAAUUAGUAGCAGGGGUCUUAGGAGUUGAAUCAUUGGAAUCAAUAGGAGCUGUUUCUUGAGCUUCAACAUGUCGACGCUCAUAAGUAAUACCAUACCGACGAAACUCUGGGUUACCUUGUGACUGUGGAGGAUUUUGAGUAGAGACAAAUGGCUCAAAUAGAGGAAUGGGCAUCACCUGGGAAGUAGUAACAUCAGUUGUAGAAGUUGCAGAACCAGAUGUAGUGGGUGAAGCAAAGAAUGGUCUAUCCUCAAAGAAAGUAACAUUUGCUGAAACAUAAAAACGAUGUGCAGAUGGAGAAUAACAACGAUACCCCUUUUGGGUUUUAGAAUAUCCCAUAAACACACAUUUGACAGCUCGAGCAGACAAUUUAUCACGACCAGGAGAGAGAUCAUGUGCAAAACACGUAGAUCCAAACACACGAAGAGGGACAUCGUAAAGAGGAUCCUUAGGAAACAAAAAAGUGAGUAUGGAAUUUCAUUACCCAAUACCGAUGAUGGCAUGCGGCUUAUCAAAUAACAGGUAGUGAGAAUGGCAUCACCCCAAAAUCUGAAAGGUGCAUGGGCAUUGAUCAAUAAAGUUCGAGCUGUGUCAACCAAAUGACGAUGUUUUCUUUCAGUGACACCAUUUUGUUGCAGUGUGUGAGGACAGCUGGACUGAUGUAUAAUACCAUGAGAAGCCAUAAAGGAGUUGAAUGAUGUAGAAAAAUAUUUGGCAUUCUCACUCCGUAAAAUUCGAAUUGUUUUACCAGAUUGGGUCUUUAUCUCUGAACAAAACGUUUGAAAGGCACCAAAUAAUUAUGAACGAUCCUUCAAUAAGGUGAUCCAGGUGCAUCUAGAGAAAUCAUCAAUGAAAGUGACAUAAUAUUUGUAUCCCAAAGUAGACGACAGGCGACUUGUAACACCUCGUUAUCCCAAACAAUUAAAUAAUAAAUAUGACAUCCGAGUUUAACACCAAAACGGUCAUGUCACACUACUUUUCAAAAUUUCUUAAAUAGAAUAUAAAAUUAUUUAAUUUAACAUUAAUAAACUGCAGCGGAAUGGUUUUCAUUAAAUAACAACAUCAACAUCAAUGUUUAAUACUCCACUAAAUAAUCCUGGUAUAGAAACCUCAUCAAAAUAAUUCAACAAUCAAAUAAAGGGCUACAUCAGCAUGUUCCAAAAAUUUGAUACCAUAAGGAAUGAAAAUAAAUAAGUAAUCUCAUCCCGUACGUAUCAGAGCCCUAGACACUUGAGCCACCAUCUACUACUCAGGAUUACCUGCAAGUUACCCAUAGGAAGGGCAACAUUUCCAAGCAGAAGGAGUGAGAUUCACAACAAUAAUAAUAGAUAUAGAAUUCCUCAAUUGAAUCUAAUACCCUAACAUAAUAAUAAUUAUUCAAUAUAAAUAUAUAUUUCAUAAUCAACAACAUCAACAAUAAUGGUAAUUACAACCAACAACAACGACUCAUGCAACUACUCGACAACACCGCUAAGACUCCUCGACAAUGCACAUGCAUGUGGGACCAAUUUACAGGGCAGAAGCCCUCACCGAAUUUUGAAUGGUUAAAGCAUUCAUCAGGGCAUAAACCCUCACCAAUUUGAACAAUAAAGUGUUCCAGGACAUGAGACCUCCCGCUUUGAACGACAAGGCGUUCCAGGGCAUGAGCCCUCCCGCUUUAUAUGUUAUGCAAUGGACUCCACUUGUGUAUAUCUACAUACAACUUAACAAUGCAUAUAUAUAUAUGACUUACAACUCCACAAUUCAACAACAUGUAUGAUUUAAUUAAUGUAAACAUACAUCACAGUCAUCAACAGAUCAUCAUAAUCAAUCCAACAAUUCAAGAAAAUACACAAUCAAUCAUAAUCAUGCUCAGACAUCAAGAUCAUUCAAUUAAAUAACAAUCAGCUUCAGAACUGGGCAACUCGCCUCGCGAGCUCAUCUGCUCGCUAUGGCGAACUCAGGAAAUGGGUUACUCGCCGUGGCGAGUACGAGGCGAACGAGAAAAAUGGUUCUCUCGGGAGUUUUGACAUUUUUCUCACUAAAUCUUCAUUUUUAAGUUCCCUAUUCAUCCUUUUAAUUUAAAAAUUGUCCCAAUCCUCUCUAAAAUCAUCUAGGCACUCAAAACUAACCAAUAUACACCUUAUAACAACAAUCUGAAAAUCAAGGUUCUCACUCACUAACUCGCCAUGGCGAGUGGUUCUGCUCGCGAGGCGGGCUAUGAAGAUUGCUCACUCGCGAGACGAGACAAGCUACUCGUCGAGGCGAGCGAUGAAUAUCAGUACGGGCAGAAUGCAGGUUUUUCCCAAAAAUCCCGAUUUCCUCAAUUUCACUCCCCAAAUCAGUUUACAGAUAUGAAACUAAAUGUUGUAUGCAACCAGAACCUAUUUCUAACAUCAAAACAGUAAUUCCUACACUCAAUUCACCCAAAAACCAAGAAUUCAACUUAAACCCCAAAAUUCCCAAUUUCUACCAUAAACCUGUUAAACCAAAAUCAGAAUUAAACAUCUAUACUACUGAAGCAAACCUCACCCUUACCUUAAUUCAGAUGAACAAAAGCACAAAAAUCUGGUUCACUUGGCUCUGCUUGGCUCUUCUCCCUUUUUCUCCCAAAAGCUCUGUUUGCACGUAAAAGCAGUUCUGACUAUUUCUUUUCCUAACUCCCAAUACAUAACUCCCCUUUAUUUCAUUUAACUCCCCCUUAAUUCUAUUAAUUUCUAAUUAAAUCCCCAACCUCCAAAAUAAUAAUAAUUCCCACUUAUUCUAAUUAAUAUUAAAAUAAACCAUAUAAUAAAAUAUAACACACCACAUAUCAACAGUAAUUAUUUAAAAUCAUAUAAAAGACUCUAAAUAAAUCAUAAAUAAAUAAAUAACGACUAGGGCGUUACACGACUAGGACCCCAAACAUCAGAAUGGAUGAUAUCAAAGGGAGACAUUGAUCUUUUAUUGACACGACUUGGAAAAGAUACUCUGACAUGUUUGCCAAGCUGACAUGAUUCACAAUCCAAUGACUUUAAAUGUGAAAGGUGAGGAAUUAAUACCUUUAACUUAUCCAAACUUGGAUGACCCAAACUACGAUGAAUGAUAUCUGGAGAUGCAGAAACACCACAAAUGGUGGAUGGAUGAGAAUGGAGAUAAUAGAGACCCUGUGAUUCAAAUCCUGUUCCAAUUGUCUUUCCCGUACUUCGGUCUUGUAUAAGAGUCGGAAGAAAAUGUUAUAGAACAAUUGAGAGAUUGAGCAAGUUUACUGAGAUCAAAUUAAAAGGACUUCUAGGUAUGAAUAACACCUAAUUCAAUGAUAGAGAUGGCAGAGGAGAAGCUUGACCAAUACCAGUAACUUGUGCCUUAGAACCAUUAGCAACAGUAAUGUUGUGAGGUAUCUUUGGAGGUGACAAAUUAGAGAUAAGAGAGGGAUCACCAACAACAUGAUCAGAAGCACCAGAAUCUAAAACCCAUGAUCCAGUAGAGUGAGAUAAGCACACUGUAGAAUUGAUGAAAUGAGCCAAUGUGGCUAAAGAGGAAACUGGUUGGAUCGCCAUUAAACAACACGAAACAAAAACCAGGACGGUUCCUUUUGGACACCAAACGACUGAAUUGAGAAAAAAAUGAUGCUAAUAAAAAUAUAGGGAUAGCCUUGACAGUGACUGAACCCAAAGACAAAACUAGGAUUUCAGAACCAUGCUCUGGAUACCAUCUUAAGACUGAAAAUAUGUUUUUUCAUAUCAAAUUAUGUGGGGAGAAUGUACAUUUAUAUGGGUAGGAGUCUCCUAGUUAAUCCCUAAUUAAUAAGGAAGAUUAAUCAAUACAAUCAAUACAAUAAAUAGUGAAGUUAAAACUAAAUAGUCACAACUUUUGAAUAUCUCAACAAUUAUAAAUAAUUGUUAUAGUUUAGUGUAUCAUCAAUCAUAUCAAACCUUAAUCAAGUUAUUCAUCUUUUUCUACACACUUUAUAUAAACACUAUAACUUCAAUAACUUUGUUUCAAACUAAUUAAGUGAAUGUAUUUUUGCCAUUCUUUGGUGACACAACCAUGUAGGUAUGUCUUUACAACUGACCCCAGAGGAGGAUUGAAACUCUGGAGGUUGCCUGACCCUUCACAAUCUAAUAGUCAGAACUCCAUGAGGGAUAUUGUGUCACAUGCAGCAGAAUUCAUAUCAAGUUAUGGAAUGCGGAUAAUGUGUUUGGAUGCAUGCUUGGAGGAAGAGGUAUUCAUCUUCUCCGUUUUUAUUUUUUUAUCUUGUUGGGGGUGAGUUAUGUUCGGUAUUGCUUUGAUGGAACCUGACUUUGUAAACAAUUAAAAUACCAUUUUAUCAAAAACUUCUUUUAUGUAAAGGUCGGCCCUGACAUUGUUCAACAACUAAUUGUGAGGAACAGCGUUAUUGCUCUAAACUGUUUUUAAUUUUGGCCUUUUAAUUUUAACUGACUUAUAAUUUAAAAAGAGAAUCUCAUUUGGAAUCUGGAUAUGUUUUUGCAGGUCCUAGCAUGUGGAGAUCUACGUGGAAAUAUGGUUUUGUUUCCUUUGCUAAAGAAUCUGGUGCUAGGCACAUCUGUUGCACAAGAGAUGAAAAUACCGCCAGUAAAUCAUUUUAAAGGUGUUCACGGGAUUUCAAGUGUCUCCAGCGUUGUUGUAACUAAGCUUGGUUAUAAUCAAAUUGAGAUACGCUCAGUAUGUUUAACUAUUCAUCCUUCAAUUUGAGAUAAGAUUGGAUACAAUCAAAUUCAAAUUCAGAUAUAAGCAUUUUGCAAAUAAUAACAUCAAGAGCACAGUUAAAUAUCAAUCCAUCAAUUAAAGUUAUGAAUAUGCUCCACUCUAACUCCAAUUGUUGACUUUUAUUCAUGUUCAGACUGGAGCAGAUGGUUGUAUAUGCUAUCUGGAAUAUGAUGGGGAAAUGCAGCAUUUGCAAUUUACGGGAAUGAAACAAGUGAAAGAGUUGUCUUCGAUUGAGCAUGUUUCUGUUGAUAACAACUCGGAAGAUACAUCAUCAAGAAGCUAUGCAGCAGGUUUUGCGUCUGUAGAUUUCAUCGUAUGGAAUUUAGUCAAUGAGAAUAAGGUACUUUGACUAUUUUUUUCUCUUUACUCUGCUUAGUUAAUAUUCAUCUGUUGCUGCGUACAUCACCAGAUAUUAUAGCUACGUAUCAUGUGCAUAUGGUAUUACCAGGUGGUGAAAAUUCCAUGUGGUGGCUGGCGGCGUCCUCAUUCCUAUUUUCUAGGUGAUGUACCAGAGAUGAAGAACUGUUUUGCUUUUGUUAAGGUUUGCUUUUUGUUUUGAACACUUAAUUGACAAAAAUUAAGCAAUAUAUAUUUCUGUAAGCUUUACCUAUCUUAAAUCAUAUGACACCUGCUCAUACUGAAAAAGUUACACUCUUCCAAAAAUUCUUUAGAGGGACGACUAUAAUUCACUAUAUUUGAGGUCAUUAUAUGCAUUUGGUUUUGUCUUGAAUAGGAAUUCCAUACAAUUGCUUUAAGGCCUCACUUUUUGAUUGGUUAAACCUAAUAAUGGGGAUAGACCGGAUAAAGUUAAAUAAAAGGAUUUGGCUCCUCUAUAGUGGGGUGUACUUUAGAGAGUAAAGUGCAAUUAUAAGUUGAUAACCGUCGAUUUAAAAACCGGUUGAGAUUGUAGUAAAAUACAUGCAGAGAUAACAAAUUAUGAAUUUUCAAUAAUUGGUUAUAAUUUCAGAUUUAUGACGUGUUUAGUUUCACAUUUAAAAUCAUAGGCGUGCGUUUAGAGCUGUUUUUUCCGUGAAUUUAAAGAAGCUAGAAAUCCUAGCUUUUGGUGGACGCACGUCUAAAUCUGUUUCUGCCAUGGAAACAGAUACUUAAUCCUUUGUAGUGCAUCCUUCACUUUAGAGCAACCAAAUCCUAAAUAAAAGUUAUUUAAACAUGAUUGCCUUCUUGAUAUGUGCAGUUUUCAGCUUUCAAAAUUUUCCAUCCAUACAUAUGCAUGGGGAUCUGAAACAAACAAUUUUCCGUAUACUUAUUGUUAAUCUCCCUUUAUUUUAUUGCUUCAGUAACAUGGGUGUUGUGAAAAGUUUGAAAAAGUGUUAAAAUUAUUGCUACACUUUUAGCGUUAAAUUUCAACUCUAAUUUUAGCAGUGGUUACUUUUUAAGCUUUGCCAAUACCGACCUUUUUAUUAGACACCAGUCCUAUUUUCUUGUGGGUUGUUGUUCUUUUGUUAUUACAAAUUUAUUCUUCGGAAUAUCCCUCUGACAAAUCAUUCCAACUUUUACAGGAUGAAAUAAUAUAUAUACAUAGACACUGGAUUAAUGAUAACGUUGGGAAGAUAUACCCUCUAAGUUUGCAUAUGCAAUUCCAUGGGAGAGAGAUACAUUCCUUGUGCUUUAUACACGAAGAUAUGCUUCUAGGAGAUUAUUGUAAACGUGCAUCAUUUUCUAAAUCAAGUUGGAUUGCAACUGGAUGUGAAGACGGGACUGUGAGAUUGACUUGGUAAAACCAUUAUUCUCUGCUGCGUGUAGAUUUCAUUUGAGUACCUCAUAAACUCCUAAUCUGCGUCUGUUUGUUUGAUUUAGGUACUCUCCAGGUAUUGAGAAUUGGUCCAUGUCAAAAUUGCUUGGUGAGCAUGUUGGAGGAUCAGCUGUAAGGUCAAUUUGUUGUGUUUCGAAACUACACAUCAUUCCAUCAGCUACAACCGAAGUACCUGAUGGGAGGAGCGAACAUAAUGCUGCUGAUGAGGACAAAGAUAAUCCAAUUUUACUGAUAUCAGUGGGUGCAAAGCGUGUCUUAACUUCUUGGCUACUUAAAAGCAGGAAACUGGAUGACAAAACUAACUUCCGAACUGAUAAUCAGCAUGAUGCAAAGGAACUUGAUGAUCAAUUUUUGUCCAGCAUGUCUUCUUCAAUGACGUUCCAGUGGCUUUCCACUGACAUGCCAACCAAAUAUUCAAGUACACACAGAUAUACAGAAAAUAAUGUGGGGAAAGCAGUUGAUGUUGCUGAAAGUGGUUCUAAAAUAAAAAUUGAUGCUGAGGCUGGAUCACUGAUUUCUGAAGGGGGGACAAUGAACUUGGUCAGAGAUAAACAUGAGGAUGACUGGAGAUAUCUUGCGGUCACUGCUUUUCUUGUUAAAUGUGCUGGUUCCAGGUUAGAGGAGAUGCCUAACAUUUGCGUCUUGGUUCCGUAUAACUCAAAUAAUUUGAAACUAAAGUUCUAUUUUGUAUAAUUUUCAGGAUAUCUGUCUGCUUUGUUGUCGUUGCUUGUUCAGAUGCUACAGUUAUGUUACGGGCUUUAAUUUUACCCUUUCGCUUAUGGUAUUAACAAUUAUUUCCAUCAAAUUCUAUGAACUUUUUCUCUGCUUUCUUUUAUUUCUUGUUACAUCUUACAUAGCUCUUUCCCUUUUACUUGAUGACAGGUUUGACGUUGCAUUACUUGUUCCUUUAUUGGCACCUGUUUUGUCAUUGCAGCAUAUCAUCUUUCCCUUACGUAUGCCUUAUAAAGGUUUGUCUUGCACUCCAUUUAAGUGAUUGGUUAUGAGAGCUGUGAACCACUUAAUCCCUUCUUUUGAUAUGGAUGUAGAAGUUCUGUUGUAAAUUGUAAUGCUACUAGAAUUUUUGAAGCUCGUCUCUUCAAAAUUUAAGGCGGUACUUACCUGUUACCGAAUAUCACAAUUAAUGGUGAAAAGACUCAAAUGUAUGAUGUACUCAUCAUGAAAGCCUAAAUUGAAAGAUGAAAUUGUCUCAAUAUUUUGGUUUACUUAUGAUCGUGGGCUUUUUUAAUAGUCCAAGGAUCGUAUUAUAAAAUAGUGUGAUAGGUAGCCUCUUUACUGCCUGUCUCCACCUUGUUCCUCAGUAUAUGAAACGAAAGAUAUUAUUUGUUAAGAUGAAUGUCCUGUUCCUUUGUCAUACCUUUUAAAAUAUAUGCUAGAAUAAAUUUAGAGGUUCUUUGUAUAUUUUCUGCCUGAUCUAUUUCCCUGCUUCAAUAUGUCUGAACUUUCUUUUGCAGAUAACGUCAAAGUUGGAAAUGUUUACAUUGUGAUUGGCGGAUCUACUGAUGGGAGUGUUACAUUUUGGGACCUGACUGACAGUGUGGAAGCUUUUAUGCAGAGCGUUUCAGUUUGUGAUGUAGAGAAGCUUUUUGAUUGUCAAAAACGACCACGCACAGGGAGAGGAAGUCAGGGUGGUAGACGGUGGAGGAGAUCUUUAAGCAGUGGGUUAUCAAAGGAAAGACAAGGCAACAAUCAGGUGACUUCAAAAGCCAAAAACAAGGCCAAAAGCAUCAAUUCUACUACACAUGGGACCUCUUCAGUGCCAAAUAAAUCUGAAGACAACAAUAUGGUUUGUUCUCAAACCAGACAUACAGCUUCCCCCGUGUUGGAAACUAAGGCUGAUGAUUCCUCAGCGGAAAUAUGUGAAAUACAACCUCUGCACCUUUUGAAAAAUGUUCACCAAUCUGGUGUCAACUGUCUCCAUGUUUCAGAGAUAAAAGCCGGGCAAACUAAUGAUAGUUCCUGCGUGUACAACAUAAUUAGUGGGGGAGAUGAUCAGUCAAUUCAUCAUCUCGUGGUUGAGUUAUCAACUAAAACAAUAAAUCUUGAUUAUGGGGUUUUAACCCCAGAUGUAGCACAUUUGGUCACUGAACCUGAAUACUUGAAGGACAUCAAUUUUCAAAAUCAGAGCAGAAACUACGAGAUCAGAUUCUUAAAUUCUGAAAAAUUUCCUUCGGCCCACAGCUCUUCUGUGAAAGGUAAUUCUGUGAAAUUAAACUUCCCUAUCUACCUACUUUUUGUGUGUCUAUAAUGAACAGUCGGCAAGGCAUGUCAGGCUUUCUUUGUCUGACACAAUGCUUUGUUGGCUUUCCCACUAAUUUUUUUUCAUUUACUUCAUCUAGCAUUUUGUCCCACUGAGAAUCUUAACCCUAUUAUUCCCGAUAGGAUUUUUCCUUGUUAUGAUAAAAUGAUAAAGUAUUCAUAAUACUUGUGAACCAUAUCCAUUUGAACCACUUUAUCAAAUUGAAGCUAGUGUAUGGAUGUCUGAACUUGCAUAUUUAUGAAAGAAAGUUUGGUCAGUUUUGUAUGACUAUCAACUUUUAUUUUAUAAAGGUGUCUGGACGGAUGGAUCUUGGGUGUUUUCGACUGGACUUGAUCAGCGGGUCAGAUGCUGGCAUCUUCACCAGAGUAAACUAAUAGAACGUGCACACCUAAUAGUUAGUGUGCCGGAGCCUGAAGCGUUAUCUGCUAGGGCAUGUAGCAGGUGAUUAUUAUAGAAGUGAAUGACUGGGUUGGGUGAUAUAUCAUAUUGUUCUUUCUCUUAACACUUGCUGGUCCCUUACGCAGGAACCAUUAUCAGAUUGCUGUUGCUGGAAGAGGGAUGCAAAUAGUGGACUUCUCAGGAUGCCAGCACGAUGAAUGAUGCGAGGAUAAUUGAUUGUUGUUAUCUUAUUUUAUUUUUAAAUCAGAAUAAUUUAUGGAGGUGCAAUUUGUUCAACCUCGUUCAGAUGUAUCCAUUUCUAAUCCUGCUGAUAUUUUCUAGUAUAUUGGCAAAAUGGUCUGUGGUUUAUCCAUGCCUCUGAAAAUUGUUGGGAAUCUGCAAUGUGCAAUUUUGAUUUAUAUUUAACUGUAACGUACUAUAAAUUAUUUUAAAUCCAAGGAGAAUGUGUCGCAUUGAUGUUUCUCACUGUUUCCUUUCGAGCAAAUUUAUUUCCUGUAUGGAAAGAAGAUAUCGUGCUUAUCACUCUUAUUUGAUAUAUGCCACUAUAUGCUUUUCUCACUGUGUUUCCUUGACAUUUGUUAGUUAAUGUAUCAUGUUUAUUAAUUUAAUAUGAUUGAAUAUUACUAGAGUAUUAAUUCACCAAUUUUGUCUUUGAAUGUAAAUAUACGUGUUUUAAUAUGUGACGGAUGUAUGUAUUAUUAUUAAUAGAUAGAUAUGAGCUGCAAAUAUUUUUUAAAAUUCCCAUUUCUCUUGCAAAAUGAUUAAAAAAUAAAUGGCGGCAAGCUGUGCUUGGCUGGCUGGUCAUGUGCUAACAACUUGUCUUCUACUACUAUUAAGCUAUACCAAAAAGAUAAGCACGUUUUUGCAUUUAUGCUGUUUAGAUCCAGAAUAGUAAGCAUAUCUCUUGUUUCAGAUUCAGCCUUAUGCAUUGAAAAGUUGCAACUGCCUCAUAAUCAGCUUAUACGAGUGAGGCAAGGAUCUUAAAUUAACUAAUUUACAGCUGUUUACGGUUCAUGAUUGAUGCCGCGGAUGCACAAUGAGGAUGGGACUAAAUCUCCACACAAGUUCACAUUCGUAGGUUAAUUGCUUUUAUGUUUUCAACAGAUUUAAUUUCAAGGGUGUACAUGUGGUGGUUACCGGUGAGGGCGGGACCCAAUAUAUUUUGAAGCGUAAAAGGAAAUUUGAGUUUUUUGAAGCGUAAAAUUGAGGUUAUGCUUUUCUAAAAUCUAAUACCGAAAUGAAGGUAUUAUAGUUUUGGCUCUCUAAAUAAAUAUUUAUGAAUUUAGUUCGGUUGAUAUAAACAUUUAUAUUUAUGGUUUUUCAGACAGAUUUAUCAAUGCUACAUAUAGGCAUUGUCUAAUAAGUUGUAUGACAAUGUUUUUUUUUAAAUAAAACUAAAAAACUUAUGUUAUGGUUUUUCAGAUAGAGAUUUAUCAAUGCUAAUAGUGAUAUGUGUAUAUAAUCUGACUAAGAAAAACCCGUGGAAACGUAAAAUAUAUAAUUACUGAUUGGUGAAUGAGAGAAAUGUAAGAACUAAGAAUUACGGUGCAUGAAAAAAUAGAAUUGUUAUAUUAUUUUUGUCAAUUUUACUGUGCAUGUCACAUUUAAAAAUGAGAACAAACAAAUACAACACAACCCAUUGCAAUGCACACAGUGCUCUUUCUCUUUACUUGAUUUGAUUUUAUUCUUUUCUUUUGGGUAAGGACCACAACUGCACAUGAUCUCAUUACGUUCAAUUACAGGAAAGAAUAUCAUAUCAUGUUACACUUAAAAUCAUAACGGCCUCUGAAAUGCUCGAAGAGCAAAUUAAAAUCAUAUCUCUAAACAAACUUUGUUUAAAUACAACUUUAUUUUGAAUUAUAUUAAAAUACAACUUAGUUUUAUAUUUUCAAUAUUUAGGGUCCUCUAAUAUGGACCAAGUAAAAAGGACCACUAGUGAAUCCUUGAAAUGACAUAUUAUAGCAAAUUAAUUUUUUUUGUUUAUUGUGAAAUUAACAUAAAUGCAAAUGGGAGGGGUUAAAAUUUACAAAGUAUAUUUUGUGGCUUUACUCAAACUACGUUUUCAAAUUGUACAACAGUGCCUUUUUUUUAUAAUUUCUUUUUCAAAAGCUUUUUGAAUUAAAAUAAUUAAAAAAGAAACUACCAUUUCAAUUGUUGUUACCAUUGCACUACAAUGGUUAAACUAUAUGAAUAUGAUUGAUGCAUAUAAUUUAUUUUAUCUCUUUUUAACUUUUUCUUUUACACAUUUUAUUUACCAAUGAACCCCAACCACGAUAAUUUUUGGUCCAAUUUUAUGUAAAAUUAUGACAAUUUUCUAUGUAUCACAAGUCAACAAAAUGUCUCAUCUUUUAAUUAAAAAUGCAUCCAAUAACCCAAUUCUCAAAUUUUCAAAUUAUAUUUCUAUCUCACACUUUGAAAAUUACUCAUAUCAAUACCAACAAUUUUCAACUCAAUCAAAUAAUCCUAAUAUGCCUUAUGGGGUUCAAUUGGAUAGUAGUGGUGUACAAUUAAAUGAUCAAGAGCUUGCAACAUCAUAAUUUUGCACUCAAAGUGACUUAGAAACUAGUAUUAUCCUGGUGAAGAAGUCAGAACUACAUCGGUUAUGAAUAUGUCGAAAAUAAAAUUUCAAUAAAAAAAAGAUAAACUUCUCAUUUAAUCAUGACUCAAUAUUUUAAAGGAUCAAUUGUAAGGAUUGAUAAAAAAAGAAGAUAGUUUUUGAAAGAGAAUUGAUUAAAAUUAUAACAACCACUCUCUCAAAAAAAAAAUUAUAACGACCAUCGCCUCAAGAAUAUAUAUAUAUAUAUAUUUCUUAUAACUUACUUGUGUCGUGUAGUUUUCUUAUAAUGAGGAUACACUAUUUUAGCCAGCAAACCUUCAGCAACUAUAGAGUAUAGACAUCGUAAAUGGUCUACACAUAUAGGAAUAUGCUUCAUAUAUUCAUAGCCACGACAUUCCUACUUCAUUGGUUCCUUGUUUGGCCAACAUUCUGGUUCCUAUUAUCUUCUAACCAAUGGUGAGUUUAUGCAUUAAUAGAAUAAGCUAAUAACAAAAGGUUUGCUUCAAUUUGUAUACAAAAAGUUCCACUUAAC